GAUGAAGAACGUAGCGAAAUGCGAUAAGUAAUGUGAAUUGCAGAAUUCAGUGAAUCAUCGAAUCUUUGAACGCACAUUGCGCCCUCUGGUAUUCCGGGGGGCAUGCCUGUUCGAGCGUCAUUAUAACCACUCAAGCUUUCGCUUGGUAUUGGGGCUCGCGGUUCCGCGGCCCCUAAAAUCAGUGGCGGUGCCUGUCGGCUCUACGCGUAGUAAUACUCCUCGCGAUUGAGUCCGGUAGGUCUACUUGCCAGCAACCCCCAAUUUUUACAGGUUGACCUCGGAUCAGGUAGGGAUACCCGCUGAACUUAAGCAUAUCAUAAGCGGAGGA
This 328-nucleotide unclassified non-coding RNA is filed under the name soil metagenome. RNAcentral's name for it is "partial contains 5.8S ribosomal RNA, internal transcribed spacer 2, and large subunit ribosomal RNA". The stretch from base 1 to 120 matches the Rfam family "5.8S ribosomal RNA", at positions 35 to 154 of the family's 154-position model. The record is from RNAcentral.